RNAcentral lists this ribosomal RNA (231 nucleotides) under uncultured bacterium. RNAcentral's name for it is "partial 16S ribosomal RNA". It matches the Rfam family "Bacterial small subunit ribosomal RNA", at positions 86 to 334 of the family's 1533-position model. The record is from RNAcentral.
CAAUACGGAGCGGCAGACGGGUGAGUAACACGUGGGAACGUACCCUUUGGUUCGGAACAACACAGGGAAACUUGUGCUAAUACCGGAUAAGCCCUUACGGGGAAAGAUUUAUCGCCGAAGGAUCGGCCCGCGUCUGAUUAGCUAGUUGGUGGGGUAAUGGCCCACCAAGGCUACGAUCAGUAGCUGGUCUGAGAGGAUGAUCAGCCACACUGGGACUGAGACACGGCCCAG